CUUCACAAAUAAUGCUAGCCAACAUGUCUACCCUACUGAUUUAACAUUUAUGCAACACAUUUAUCAACUAUUACAAACACAUGUUAUCAAUUACAUGAUAGAAGAGAGAGAAAGUGUACAUUUUUGGCAUAUAUAUUCACCCACACUUGGCCAUAUUUUUCCAAGCUCAAACCUACGAAUUUCUCUUACCCAUAAGCUCAUAAUCAAAGCCCAGCCAUCACAAAUAACAAAUCAGAAGUAUCAAGAAGUCAGAAAUCAAAAAUCAAAGCCAAAAAAAUCAGAAAUCGAAGCUAGAAAAGGUAUGAAAUUCCCUAAUUUUGAAAUCUUUCGAUUCUAUGUUAAUUGAUGCAAUUGAUUGUUUAAAGUAGUGUAAUAGGGAGUCUAUUAAUGUUCUGGGUUAUAAAAACACAGACCCAUAACAUCAAAGUGUACGAAUUUGA
RNAcentral lists this long non-coding RNA (440 nucleotides) under Panax ginseng (ginseng). Its description in RNAcentral is "long non-coding RNA (PGIN_LNC008451)". Lineage: Eukaryota; Viridiplantae; Streptophyta; Magnoliopsida; Apiales; Araliaceae. The record is from RNAcentral.